UGGGGGAUAUUGCACAAUGGGCGAAAGCCUGAUGCAGCGACGCCGCGUGGGGGAUGAAGGCUUUCGGGUUGUAAACCUCUUUCGCUAUCGAACAAGGCCCGCUUAGGGUGGGUUGAGGGUAGGUGGAGAAGAAGCGCCGGCUAACUACGUGCCAGCAGCCGCGGUAAUACGUAGGGCGCGAGCGUUGUCCGGAAUUAUUGGGCGUAAAGGGCUUGUAGGCGGCUUGUUGCGCCUGCUGUGAAAACGCGGGGCUUAACUUCGCGCGUGCAGUGGGUACGGGCAGGCUUGAGUGUGGUAGGGGUGACUGGAAUUCCAGGUGUAGCGGUGGAAUGCGCAGAUAUCUGGAGGAACACCGAUGGCGAAGGCAGGUCACUGGGCCAUUACUGACGCUGAGGAGCGAAAGCAUGGGUAGCGAACAGU
This 420-nucleotide ribosomal RNA is filed under the name bacterium. RNAcentral describes it as "partial 16S ribosomal RNA". It matches the Rfam family "Bacterial small subunit ribosomal RNA", at positions 355 to 776 of the family's 1533-position model. The record is from RNAcentral.